GAAUUUUAUAAAUUAAAAAUAAAAAAAUUUAGAGAUUUAAAAAAAUUUUAUAUUUAUUUAGUUGGGGGGAUUGUUAAAUUAAAUAAACUUUAAUUAUAAAUAAAAGUCAUAUAUUAAUGAUAAUAAAGAAUAAUAUAUAAAUUAAAUAAGAAUUAAUUACCUUAGGGAUAACAGCGUAAUAUUAUUGGAGAGAUCUUAUUGAUAAUAAUGAUUGC
This 215-nucleotide ribosomal RNA is filed under the name Myrmicocrypta sp. TR17.01. RNAcentral describes it as "partial large subunit ribosomal RNA". Lineage: Eukaryota; Metazoa; Arthropoda; Insecta; Hymenoptera; Formicidae. The record is from RNAcentral.